GUUGGUUUGGCCGAGUGGUUAUGGCGCUGUGUUCAGGGGACUCCCUUGCAACCGCAGUGUGAAAACGCGUGGGUUCGAAUCCCACAACCAACA
Kwoniella sp. CBS 9459 is the source of this 93-nucleotide non-coding RNA. The record is from the annotation of a GenBank genome assembly. NCBI's taxonomy places the organism in Eukaryota, Fungi, Basidiomycota, Tremellomycetes, Tremellales, Cryptococcaceae.